Molecule: ribosomal RNA, 467 nt
Filed under: uncultured bacterium
Lineage: Bacteria
Description: partial 16S ribosomal RNA
Rfam family: Bacterial small subunit ribosomal RNA
Source: RNAcentral
GACGAACGCUGGCGGCGUGCUUAACACAUGCAAGUCGAACGGAAAGGCCCUGCUUUUGUGGGGUGCUCGAGUGGCGAACGGGUGAGUAACACGUGAGUAACCUGCCCUUGACUUUGGGAUAACUUCAGGAAACUGGGGCUAAUACCGGAUAGGAGCUCCUGCUGCAUGGUGGGGGUUGGAAAGUUUCGGCGGUUGGGGAUGGACUCGCGGCUUAUCAGCUUGUUGGUGGGGUAGUGGCUUACCAAGGCUUUGACGGGUAGCCGGCCUGAGAGGGUGACCGGCCACAUUGGGACUGAGAUACGGCCCAGACUCCUACGGGAGGCAGCAGUGGGGAAUAUUGCACAAUGGGCGGAAGCCUGAUGCAGCAACGCCGCGUGCGGGAUGACGGCCUUCGGGUGGUAAACCGAUUUCGCCUGUGACGAAGCGUGAGUGACGGUAAUGGGUAAAGAAGCACCGGCUAACUACGU